This 300-nucleotide ribosomal RNA is filed under the name fungal sp. Its description in RNAcentral is "SSU rRNA". It matches the Rfam family "Eukaryotic small subunit ribosomal RNA", at positions 548 to 854 of the family's 1831-position model. The record is from RNAcentral. Lineage: Eukaryota; Fungi.
UUGGAGGGCAAGUCUGGUGCCAGCAGCCGCGGUAAUUCCAGCUCCAAUAGCGUAUAUUAAAGUUGUUGCAGUUAAAAAGCUCGUAGUUGAAACUUGGGCCUGGCUGGCAGGUCCGCCUCACCGCGUGUACUUGUCCGGCCGGGCCUUUCCUUCUGGAGAACCUCAUGCCCUUCACUGGGUGUGUUGGGGAACCAGGACUUUUACUUUGAAAAAAUUAGAGUGUUCAAAGCAGGCCUUUGCUCGAAUACGUUAGCAUGGAAUAAUAGAAUAGGACGUGCGGUCCUCUUUUGUUGGUUUUUA